CUUUGAUUAGACAUUUGAGAUGAGUGUAGAGUUCUUAAAACUUGAAAUUUUUGCUGUGUUCACACAGAAUCAAGAACAGACAAUCUGUAAGAGACUUCCACUGGAUUCAUGUCAUGAAUCUGCUGUUACAGUGAAGUGAAUCAUGGGAACAAUUAUAUAGAGAGCCAUUUGGCAUGCCAUCACUGCAAAGGAGAUACGCAUUUUUGACAGGUCAAUGCCUAGAAUUCUCCAGCUGCUUAAAAGUUCAAGAGUUAAAUCUGGCUUUGAGACAAUCAUCAGGAAGCUUCUGCUCCACACAAACAGAUAUCAUACUUAUGACUUAGGGCCUGCAUCUAUGUAAUGGAAUUAAUAUAAUCCUGGUCCUCAUGCACAAGGCGCCAUGGUGAAUUAACUGCUUUCUUGUACACCAAUACUAUGGUAAUAAAGAAGAACACCGGAAUAAUCUUCA
Molecule: long non-coding RNA, 448 nt
Filed under: Phasianus colchicus (ring-necked pheasant)
Lineage: Eukaryota; Metazoa; Chordata; Aves; Galliformes; Phasianidae
Description: lncRNA (ENSPCLG00000022281.1)
Source: RNAcentral